Molecule: transfer RNA, 75 nt
Filed under: Bradyrhizobium sp.
Lineage: Bacteria; Pseudomonadati; Pseudomonadota; Alphaproteobacteria; Hyphomicrobiales; Nitrobacteraceae
Also listed under: 3 other names
Description: tRNA-Val
Rfam family: tRNA
About the family: Transfer RNA (tRNA) molecules are approximately 80 nucleotides in length.
Source: RNAcentral
GGGCGCUUAGCUCAGCGGUAGAGCACUUCCUUGACAUGGAAGGGGUCAGAGGUUCAAUCCCUCUAGCGCCCACCA